This is a long non-coding RNA of Mauremys mutica (yellowpond turtle), 4454 nucleotides long. RefSeq lists it as uncharacterized. Lineage: Eukaryota; Metazoa; Chordata; Testudines; Geoemydidae. The record is from RefSeq and is a predicted model, not a curated record. The transcript is spliced from 5 exons.
UUGCUUGGUUUCCCUUAGCUUGGCCUAUACAAUCAGAUGGUGAUAUAAAAGGGGUGUAAUAGCUUAAUCUCAGGGCCCCUCAGCAACCAGCUCUCUGGGGGAAAGGGCUGGGCCUUUUACCUCUACAGCUCCCUGUUUCCUCUUCAGAAAAUAUGCCCAGAAAAUCUUAUCAUCUCAACCUCCCUCUUUCCUUGUGGAAUUCUACCCUUUGCCCUAGAGGGAAAAAUUGCUAUACCUAGCCACAGGUAACAGCAGCCCUUAUCCUGCCUUCUCAUUAUACAUUCACUGCAUACCCCUCACCAAUUGAAGUCUGCUCCUUCCCCUGUCCCCCACCAAAGACAAUCGGUACUCUGUCUUCUCCAUAGGGAAUAGCUAAUAAUUGCCCCCAUAGCCUUCCCCCCACAAAUUAAUUAAUUUACUAUUGACUUCUCCCUCCAGUUCUGUCCUUUGUGGAGUGAACUGAGGCAUUUCCAAAAACACCUACGUUAUUUAGGAUUGUGGGUCCCAUGGAAGAGCAAUGAGACUUGUACUUCUGAAUCACUUCUGAGGUACUCUUGAAAAUCCCAUCCCUUAUCUCUCUUCUGGGAUUCACAGUGUAGUGGGUGAAGGGCUGGCCCACUAGCUCCUCACUAAGGAAACCUCCCUAUGGAUUGCAUACUCGGUGUAUUCUGUAGGGGCAAAGGGUAAUGGACUCCAGCAAGUGAACUUAGAGCUAUGUAAGGGGGCAAUUGCCUCCAUACUGGAUUUAUUCAGUGUAAUACAGCGGUUCACAAACUGUUUCGCAGGAUCACUAGUGUUUCACAGAGCACAUUCUAAUGGUCUGCAGAAAGGUGACUGGUCACAUUGUGAUUUUUCUCCUUGUUUGCACCCAGUACAUCAGAAGCACAGAAAUAUAUUAAAAAUUUUCCUAUGUUAUUUUCCCAUGUAAACAAGUAAGUUACUGUGACCAUGAACAGGAGGUGAGGUGUCCAUGAGACAAUCUUUUGGUUGAGAUGUGGUCUACAGUAGUCUGAAAACUGCUGGUAACACAUAAGGGGAUUUCUGUACUUUCACAGUGCCUAUGUAUUUGAAUACUACAAAAUCAUGCACCCAGGUUUUUGAGCAACCAUCAAUUUGCAAGCAGAGAAGUUCUGUUCUGCAUGCCAUUGUGCUAGGUGAGCAAGGCUGCUCUCCUUCCUUGUGUCCCAUCUGGUGGGAAGUGAUUUCUAUAAUACACCAUUUUGUACUAUGUAUAAUAUAUAUUGACUUCUUAUCACACCUCCAAUCCUGUUCCUUUGUCAAGUGAAUUGAGGCAUUUUCAAAAACACGUACAUUAUUUAGGGUUAUUUAUAUAUAAUAUAAAUUAUUAUUUUAUUAUUCUAAGGACCAUCAAGACUUCUUCUAUUAAAAGGUUUCUUUCCUGAAGGGGCUUCUUAUUUGUUAGCUAUUGCUUGCCCAUUAUCGGUCUCUGAUAUUGACCCAGAUGUUUUUAAUUUACUUCCCCAAACACACAAUUGCUUUUUUAAAUUGUGCAGAAAGGCAGAGAUUUUUAUUAGACCUGUCUAUCCACUGCUCCCAUUUAGGAGACAUUUUUAAUGGGUUUGGGUCAAUAUGCUCCAUGCCUUGUGGUUAAGACACAGGACCAGAUUCCAGAAGACCCUCCUUCUAUUUCCAGCCCUUCCACCAACUUCCCAUGUAACCAUGGCUAAGGCACUUAACCUCUCCAGUGCCUUAGUUUCCUCAUCUGUAAAUGAGGAUGAUGUCUCAUUCACAGUGUGUAAAGAGCUUUGAGAUCCUCAGUUAGAAAAUGCUGAAGAAGUGCCAAGCAUUACUGUAAAAAUGUGGUAUAGAAAUUAGUUUUGUGCUGAAACUGACAGAAACCACAGGGCAACUGGAAAGAAUGGGAAGAUCAGAAACCAGAGUUUAUGCCAAGGUGAAGGGAGAUGUGGGGGUGAAGUACCACACUGGAUCCCCAACUCCUGGAUAGGAAUUCCCUCCAGUUGUGAAAUUCUCUUCACCAGAACACAGUGGAUAGAGUGUAAUUCCUGCUUCAUCCAUUCAUUAAAGAGGGGAUAAAGCCAGGUGCUCUUCUCUAGCUUCCAUGGCUUUCCCUAUAGAGAGGCACCUGAUAAAUCAUCAGAAGUUAAUGAUCAAAAAGCUUAUCAGGGUCUUUUCGUUUAUAAAUUUAUAAGACAAAAGAGAAAUAAUAAAGCCAUUGGAUAAUUAGUAACUAGCCAGGGCCCGCCCGGUGCAACUGGAGCUCAAACUGCCCCAAGAUCUCUACACAGGCUUAGGGAGAAGAGAGAGAGAAGGAGAUGGGUAAAAGCAAUGUGAAAGAGAGAGAGACAGACAGACACUCACAGACAGGUAGACAUAGAAACAGGGUGAUGAGAGACAGAGAGAAGUGGUGGGGGGAUAGGAAAGGAGGAUCUGAGGAAAACAGAUAUAGAACAGGGGAGUUGGAAACAGCAAGGGUGUAAUAAAGAGGGAGGGGGACAAAAUUAAAAGGCAAAGACAGGAAAGGGGUUUAUUGGAUGGAAAAGAAGAUUGAAUUAUGGGGAGCAUCUUUCCUCUCAGGGAAGAGGUGAAGGAAAGAGAAAUAAAGGAACGGAGAGCAAGAAGGGGAAAGGAAAACCAUGUCCUUACUGUAAUAGUCUCUCCACCACAGCCUUCUGGUGAGCAGCCUCCUCUGGACUUAGGUUUUCCAGCUCCUUCAUUAUUGGAGGGGUGAAUUCCUCCCCAUCGUCAGAGGUUUCCUCCUCGGACAUCCUGGAUUCCUCCAUCCCAUUGGACAGAUUGGGAAUUUCAGCACAGAGUUCCCCUUUUUCCGCCUGGAUGGCACUGAUGGCACGCUGGCUUUCACUCUGGAGGGCAUAGGGGUCCACUUCCCCGAGCGCUUUGAUCAGGGUCUCCUUGGUUAGCCCUGACUCCAGUAGUGCUCCCAGCAGCUCCACCUGAAGAUGACUCAGCUUAGAGACCAUGGUCUUCAGUCUGGUGUCCCUUGGAUUUGAGUUUCAGCACGUUCUGCCUUCAGCCUUCCCUACACCAUGUUCCUGAGAUGUCGUUUGCUCCAGAAAGCACCUCCUCCCCUUGGCACAGGGCAGAAUACACAAGUAAAGUUAACAUGGCUAACCUGAAGUCCUGGAACACAGUCUCAGCCUGGUUAAAGACACAGCAUACUGUAGUCUGAGCCCCAGUUAUAAUAAUGAAUAAUCUCCUUCACUCCCACCCAAACAGUGGACAAGACAGUGUACUGCAUGGGAGUUGUCUUAAAGUGUUGAAUUGCUGGCAUUUCCUGACAGACUUUUGGAACAAGGGUUACAUGUCAGCUGUUAGUGCAAACCGUGAACACCUCACUGGAUGGAAGGGGUACCAAAAUACAUGAUUAUGAAGGGAAAUUCGUUUGUAGUAGAGCAGGAGAGUAAACAGCUAAUUUUUGGUAGGUACCGAACCUGGAGCCUUGUCCUCAGCAGAGCAAUGUCUUGCCUCUUUAAUUCCCCUCGCCACGUGGUGCAGGGAGUAGUUAAGAUCAAGAAAACAAGAUAUUUUGAUGCCCUUCCCUGACAAUCCAUCUCCCUAGGGAAAUAGUUGAAGAUCUAAUGGAGAUUUAAAAUUAGACUGGACAAAGAACUAGAAAGUAUAGUAUAGGGAAUGACCCUGCACUGGCCUUAGGGAGAUGGAGGGGACAAGUCUUAUUUAUCUCUAGUUUCCUCUCUCUCUAAAGGAGGAGGAGGAGGAUGUGCACACAAGUAUGCCAUCCUUUCAUUCUUUGACCUGCUGGAUAAACAGAGGUAGGAGCACACAUUUAAACCAUCUACAAUGUUGAGAUUCAUAUUAAGAUCUUGAAUGCAGAAGAACCCAUUGCAGCUCUGAGAUAAAUUCUAAGACUGGAAUUCUGAUUUUUGCCUUCUUUCCCUGCUCAUUUCCAUCCUCUCUGCUCCCCUCAAACCUCCGAAGAGCAGACAACCAUUCCUGUCAUGUCUCUGUCUGCAAGGUGGCCAUUUCACACUAGGCCACUCUGCUCUUCUCUCUCUAUUUCCAUCAGUGAGGAAUCAGGACUGGCUCUGUUAGACUGACAUCUGAUAAAAGACAAGCUUUGUGGCUGAUGGGGGAGGGCUCUUUGCUGUCACUGGUGCCAUCUGAUUCCCCUCUACCACCCGUUCUCUCCACUGCUGUUACCUUACUGUGCCCUGGGAGCUACUUAUGCAACCAGGGACAAAGAAGGAUCUUAUUUGUUUGCUGCCAGCACUGAAAUGGCUCUGACAGAUCUAGGCACUGCAGCAGUGUAUGUUCAAGGUGCAGUGCAGUGCAGUGCAGCUCACUGGAAGAGAGACUGUAAUGUCAAAAGCAACUAAGAGUCCUGUGGCACCUUAUAGAGUAACAGAUGUAUUGGAGCAUAAGCUUUUGUGGGUGAAUACCCACUUCGUCAGAUGCAUGUAAUGGAAAUUUUGAGAGGCAGGUAUAAAUAUACAGGC